This 219-nucleotide long non-coding RNA is filed under the name Carica papaya (papaya). RNAcentral's name for it is "long non-coding RNA (CPAP_LNC003694)". Lineage: Eukaryota; Viridiplantae; Streptophyta; Magnoliopsida; Brassicales; Caricaceae. The record is from RNAcentral.
AUAUGCAAUUACACACACACACAUGAUGAUUUGUGAAAAUCAUGUUAUAAAACUUAAAUAAUUUGUAAGAUUUGUAAAUAAUUCAUUUUAAUGGAAAAUAAAGUUUUAAAAAAACAUGAGAGCCUUUGAAUGAGACUAACCUAAUCCCUUACGUAUAGUUUAAUCAGAAAAAGUUUCAAAAUCCUUACUGGCUCGAGUCUAUACUCUCCUAUAAAUCUU